This 490-nucleotide ribosomal RNA is filed under the name uncultured bacterium. RNAcentral describes it as "partial 16S ribosomal RNA". It matches the Rfam family "Bacterial small subunit ribosomal RNA", at positions 30 to 507 of the family's 1533-position model. The record is from RNAcentral.
AUUGAACGCUGGCGGCAGGCCUAACACAUGCAAGUCGAACGGUAACAGGAAGAGCCUGGCUUCUUUUCUGCCAGGUGGCGGACGGGUGGGUAAGGUCUGGAAACCUGCCGGAUGAAGGGGGAUAACUCCUGGAAACGGUGGCUACUACCCCAUAACGCCGCAAAACCAAAGAGGGGGACCUUCGGGCCUCUUGCCAUCGGAUGUGCCCAGAUGGGAUUAGCUAGUAGGUGGGGUAACGGCUCACCUAGGCGACGAUCCCUAGCUGGUCUGAGAGGAUGACCAGCCACACUGGAACUGAGACACGGUCCAGACUCCUACGGGAGGCAGCAGUGGGGAAUAUUGCACAAUGGGCGCAAGCCUGAUGCAGCCAUGCCGCGUGUAUGAAGAAGGCCUUCGGGUUGUAAAGUACUUUCAGCGGGGAGGAAGGGAGUAAAGUUAAUACCUUUGCUCAUUGACGUUACCCGCAGAAGAAGCACCGGCUAACUCCGUG